AUGGGUAGAAUGGUGCUUGCAAGGUUCGUCCUCUCGGCCAUGCCCAUCUUCCUCCUGCUGGGAGUGCACCAACCGAAGUGGGUGAUUAAGCAAAUUGACAAACUCCAUCGGGCAUUCUUAUGGGCAGGUUCCGACAACGUGUGUGGAGGCAAGUGUCUUGUCCAUUGAUCCCUAGUGUGCUCCCCACUUAAUUUUGGAGGGCUGGGCAUUCCUGACCUGUAUGCUCAGGAAAGAGCCCUCAAAGUUCGCUGGUUAUGGCAGAGUGCCACUGAACUGGAUAAACCAUGGCAAGGGCUGCAGCUACCGAUUGACAAACAUGUUAAGGCACUCUUUAUUGCUAGCACCACCAUCAAGAUUGGCAACGGGGCCAAGGUGUCAUUUUGGCACGAUCAUUGGUUAAGCGGCGAGAUCCCCUCUGUUUCUUUCCCCAACUUAUACAAGCAUAGCAAGAGCAGAAAAAUUUCUUUGGCUGAAGGUCUCACAAAUAGGAGGUGGGUAACCUUGCUGAAGAGAAACCCUGGGAUUUAG
Molecule: ribosomal RNA, 528 nt
Filed under: Triticum aestivum (bread wheat)
Lineage: Eukaryota; Viridiplantae; Streptophyta; Magnoliopsida; Poales; Poaceae
Description: partial small subunit ribosomal RNA
Source: RNAcentral